AUUGGCCAAAGCAAUAGAGAGGUUUGGGAAGAUGUAUGAAAGAGUGGAAGCAGAGAAGUUGAGGCAGAUGGUGGAAUUGGAGAAGCAAAGAAUGCAAUUUGCAAAGGACUUGGAAGUCCAGCGUAUGCAGAUGUUUACGGAAACUCAAGUUCAACUCGAGAGGAUCAAGCGCGGGAAGAAAUCGGGUUCCAAUGACAUAUAUGGUUAGCGACAUAUGACAGUGUUCUAACGUUGUAUGGAAGCAUUCAACUUUUGUCUCUGCCCUUCCCAAAGUACAUA
This 279-nucleotide unclassified non-coding RNA is filed under the name Hevea brasiliensis (rubber tree). The record is from RNAcentral. Lineage: Eukaryota; Viridiplantae; Streptophyta; Magnoliopsida; Malpighiales; Euphorbiaceae.